Molecule: ribosomal RNA, 301 nt
Filed under: uncultured bacterium
Lineage: Bacteria
Description: partial 16S ribosomal RNA
Rfam family: Bacterial small subunit ribosomal RNA
Source: RNAcentral
CAGCCGCCGCGGGAAUACAGAGGGUGCGAGCGUUAAUCGGAUUUACUGGGCGUAAAGCGUGCGUAGGCGGCUUUUUAAGUCGGAUGUGAAAUCCCUGAGCUUAACUUAGGAAUUGCAUUCGAUACUGGGAAGCUAGAGUAUGGGAGAGGAUGGUAGAAUUCCAGGUGUAGCGGUGAAAUGCGUAGAGAUCUGGAUGAAUACCGAUGGCGAAGGCAGCCAUCUGGCCUAAUACUGACGCUGAGGUACGAAAGCAUGGGGAGCAAACAGGAUUAGAUACCCCCGUAGUCCCUGUCUCUUAUAC